UACGUAGGGGGCAAGCGUUGUCCGGAUUUAUUGGGCGUAAAGAGCGUGUAGGCGGCCAGGUAGGUCAGCUGUGAAAACUCGAGGCUCAACCUCGAGACGUCGGUUGAAACCACCUGGCUAGAGUCCGGAAGAGGAGAGUGGAAUUCCUGGUGUAGCGGUGAAAUGCGCAGAUAUCAGGAAGAACACCCGUGGCGAAGGCGGCUCUUUGGGACGGUACUGACGCUGAGACGCGAAAGCGUGGGGAGCGAACAGG
This 253-nucleotide ribosomal RNA is filed under the name uncultured bacterium. RNAcentral describes it as "partial 16S ribosomal RNA". It matches the Rfam family "Bacterial small subunit ribosomal RNA", at positions 524 to 776 of the family's 1533-position model. The record is from RNAcentral.